This 422-nucleotide ribosomal RNA is filed under the name uncultured bacterium. RNAcentral describes it as "bacterial SSU rRNA". It matches the Rfam family "Bacterial small subunit ribosomal RNA", at positions 355 to 786 of the family's 1533-position model. The record is from RNAcentral.
UGGGGAAUCUUGCGCAAUGGGCGAAAGCCUGACGCAGCGACGCCGCGUGCGGGAUGACGGCCUUCGGGUUGUGAAAUCCGCUUUCAGCAGGGACGAGGCCGCAAGGUGACGGUACCUGCAGAAGAAGCCCCGGCUAACUACGUGCCAGCAGCCGCGGUAAUACGUAGGGGGCGAGCGUUAUCCGGAUUCAUUGGGCGUAAAGCGCGCGUAGGCGGCCAGUUAGGUCGGAGUCAAAUUUCGGGGCUCAACCCCGUCUCGCUCCCGAUACCGGCUGGCUUGAGUGUGGUAGGGGAAGGCGGAAUUCCCGGUGUAGCGGUGGAAUGCGCAGAUAUCGGGUGGAACACCGGUGGCGAAGGCGGCCCUCUGGGCCCGAGACCGACGCUGAGGCGCGAAAGCUGGGGGAGCGAACAGGAUUAGAUACC